AUGUCUUUGCAGAGUAUGAUUGCUGUUGGCUUGACAACCAAAAUGCAGAGCGUGAGGGUGUUGGUUCUUGACUACACUAAUCUGGAUAUAGUGGUUAACUUCCUCAAGUGCUUCCCCUGCUUGGAGAGGCUGCAUGUCUUUUUCCGGUUCCAGAAGAUGAGUUAUAAUAAUCGGGGGGAGUAUGACCCACCGGAACCGAUUGAAUGUCUUGAGCUGCAUCUCAAAGAAGUAUUGUUUAAUAAUUAUGGCGGCACCGUCCCUUUGUGUAUUGACUUCGCCAAGUUCUUUGUUUUGAAUGCGAAAGUGCUAAAGGAAAUGAAAAUCACAUUGCCUUACCACCGGCAGUACAACUGGUUUGCUAAUCAACACCGGCUGCUGCGGACCAAAGAUAGAAUUUCUCAAGAUGCUCGGAUUGAACUGAGAUGCGGCAAUAAUGUUUAUUUCAGAGACAACAGGAACACCCAUGAUUUGUCAAUGGCUGAUCCUUUUGACGUGCCCUCCAGCGGAUGCAAAAAGUGUAGUGGAUCCCCAUUUUGA
RNAcentral lists this ribosomal RNA (537 nucleotides) under Triticum aestivum (bread wheat). Its description in RNAcentral is "partial small subunit ribosomal RNA". Lineage: Eukaryota; Viridiplantae; Streptophyta; Magnoliopsida; Poales; Poaceae. The record is from RNAcentral.